Small nuclear RNA from Dermochelys coriacea (leatherback sea turtle), 187 nucleotides. RefSeq annotates it as U2 spliceosomal RNA. The transcript has a single exon. The record is from RefSeq and is a predicted model, not a curated record. Lineage: Eukaryota; Metazoa; Chordata; Testudines; Dermochelyidae.
AUUUUUUUUAUUUUAACAUCUUAAUAAAAUUAUUAAAACUGUUCUUAGUUUAAUAUCUGAUAUGUCCUUUAUUUGAGGACUGUAUAUUAAAUUGAUUUUUGGAACAGGUGGAGUGAAUAGGAGCUUGCUCUGUCCACUCCAUGCAUCGCCCUGGUAUUGCACUGCCUCCAGGAAUGGAGGGGAAAAA